UGAUGGGAGGGAAAGGGUAAGCAGGGA
RNAcentral lists this non-coding RNA (27 nucleotides) under Homo sapiens (human). The record is from RNAcentral. Lineage: Eukaryota; Metazoa; Chordata; Mammalia; Primates; Hominidae.